CCUACGGGAGGCAGCAGUGAGGAAUAUUGGUCAAUGGGCGCAAGCCUGAACCAGCCAAGUCGCGUGAGGGAUGACGGUCCUAUGGAUUGUAAACCUCUUUUGUCGGGGAGCAAGGCCCGCCACGUGUGGCGGGAAGGAGAGUACCCGAAGAAAAAGCAUCGGCUAACUCCGUGCCAGCAGCCGCGGUAAUACGGGGGGUGCAAGCGUUGUACGGAAUCAUUGGGCGUAAAGCGUUCGUAGGCGGCAAGGUAAGUCUGAUGUUAAAGCCCGGGGCUCAACUCCGGUUCGGCAUUGGAUACUAUCUAGCUAGAAUGUGGUAGAGGUAAAGGGAAUGCCUGGUGUAGCGGUGAAAUGCGUAGAUAUCAGGAGGAACAUCGGUGGCGAAAGCGCUUUACUGGACCAUUAUUGACGCUGAGGAACGAAAGCCAGGGGAGCAAAUGGGAUUAGAUACCCUUGUAGUC
This 461-nucleotide ribosomal RNA is filed under the name uncultured bacterium. RNAcentral's name for it is "partial 16S ribosomal RNA". It matches the Rfam family "Bacterial small subunit ribosomal RNA", at positions 338 to 795 of the family's 1533-position model. The record is from RNAcentral.